GUGAAUCAUCAAAUCUUUGAACGCAAAUUGCACUCUCCUCGGAGAGUAUGACUGUUUGAGGGUGAGACUAUAAAAAUCGACAUCGUUGCUGUUUCGCGGUGGCGUUCGUCGGAAAUUGGGUCAUCUUAAAUAAUUUUGAUUUAAGCGACUUAAAAUUUUAUUUUGGUUACGUGAAAGUUUCUAAGAACUAUUUCUUUACAAGUUUAAGGUAUCGAUUUUUACUAGACGUGACCAUCAUUUCGGAUUGAGUAUAUAAUCUAUCA
RNAcentral lists this unclassified non-coding RNA (263 nucleotides) under Glomus sp. RNAcentral's name for it is "partial contains 5.8S ribosomal RNA and internal transcribed spacer 2". The stretch from base 1 to 65 matches the Rfam family "5.8S ribosomal RNA", at positions 84 to 154 of the family's 154-position model. The record is from RNAcentral. Lineage: Eukaryota; Fungi; Glomeromycota; Glomeromycetes; Glomerales; Glomeraceae.